Molecule: ribosomal RNA, 575 nt
Filed under: Cetengraulis edentulus (Atlantic anchoveta)
Lineage: Eukaryota; Metazoa; Chordata; Actinopteri; Clupeiformes; Engraulidae
Description: partial 16S ribosomal RNA
Rfam family: Bacterial large subunit ribosomal RNA
Source: RNAcentral
CGCCUCUUGCGUCCCAAAGUAUAAGAGGUCCCACCUGCCCUGUGACUCUAAGUUUAACGGCCGCGGUAUUCUAACCGUGCGAAGGUAGCGCAAUCAAUUGCCUUUUAAAUGAAGGCCUGUAUGAAUGGUAUAACGAGGGUCUAGCUGUCUCUUUUUCCUAGUCAGUUAAACUGAUCUGUCCGUGCAGAAGCGGACAUAAAUAUACAAGACGAGAAGACCCUAUGGAGCUUUAGACACUAGCCAAAUGUGAAUAAGCGACUCAACUAAACAAGUCCUAAGCACCCACAACCCCUGGCAACGAAGUCUUAGGUUGGGGCGACCACGGGAGAAAGAGAAGCUCCCAAGCAGACCGGGAAAACCCCUAAGCCGAGAGUUACAACUCUAAGCCGCAAAAUUUUUGACUGAAAUGAUCCGGUUGGAAAACCGAUUGACGGACCAAGUUACCCUAGGGAUAACAGCGCAAUCCCCUCCCAGAGUCCCUAUCGACGAGGGGGUUUACGACCUCGAUGUUGGAUCAGGACAUCCUAAUGGUGCAGCCGCUAUUAAGGGUUCGUUUGUUCAACGAUUAAAGUCCU